Molecule: transfer RNA, 71 nt
Filed under: Empetrichthys latos latos
Lineage: Eukaryota; Metazoa; Chordata; Actinopteri; Cyprinodontiformes; Goodeidae
Description: tRNA-Thr
Rfam family: tRNA
About the family: Transfer RNA (tRNA) molecules are approximately 80 nucleotides in length. Their secondary structure includes four short double-helical elements and three loops (D, anti-codon, and T loops).
Source: RNAcentral
GCAUUAGUAGCUCAGCUCAGAGCACCGGUCUUGUAAACCGGACGUCGAGGGUUAAAUCCCCUCCUAUUGUU